Canis lupus familiaris (dog) is the source of this 145-nucleotide non-coding RNA. Lineage: Eukaryota; Metazoa; Chordata; Mammalia; Carnivora; Canidae. The record is from RefSeq and is marked provisional.
GAAGGAGCCACUACUCCUAUCAGAUAUUUGCACUUCCCUUGAUUAACUGAGAGCUUCCAGCACAGACAGACAUGGGCUUCUCCACUGUUGGGUGCCUGGGAUCUGAGGCCUGUGAGGAGGGCAGGGCUGUCUGGGUGUAAGGGCA